Camellia sinensis is the source of this 615-nucleotide non-coding RNA. Lineage: Eukaryota; Viridiplantae; Streptophyta; Magnoliopsida; Ericales; Theaceae. The record is from RefSeq and is a predicted model, not a curated record.
UUUUGUGCAUUAUUUCACAAUAAUGAAAGGUAGUUUUCAAUUGAUGAUUCUGACUAUUUUGUGUUUCACUCUCCAUACAACAAGGUAGUUUAUCUAAUACUGUUAAUAUGUGCAAUUAAUUUCUCUUUCUGGUUUACCAUUCGAAGCUUUCAGAGCACUUGAAAGAAUAACAGAGGUUUAAACUUUUUAGUUUAAUCACUACAGCUUGUUCAAAAGAGCUUUGCCUGGUUGUGGUUCAAUGACUUCUUGAGGAAUGUCGUGAUUCGAUGACUUCUUGAGGAAUGUCGUGAUCUAGAGGUCUGUUUUGGCUCCUAGUCCUAACAUGCAUUUCCAAUCUCUCUCUUACAUUCUUUCUUUUACCUUACCUAGACUGUAACCUGCAAUACACAGAUUGCUUUCACCAUGUCUCUCUUAAAACUAAUUGGUGCUAGAGAGGGUUUUAGCUUUAGUUUUAAGAUUAUGUGAGGUCGACCUAUCAGUGUCUUUGAUGAUCUUGGGUCCAGAGCUCUUCCAACUUUCCUCAAUUCCACCAUGAAUGCUAUUGAGGGAAUCAUUGGAAUGGUUGGGCUUUCUUGAUCUAAGAAAAGGGUUAUCAAGAUACUUCACGAUGUCAAU